RNAcentral lists this long non-coding RNA (358 nucleotides) under Vigna radiata. Its description in RNAcentral is "long non-coding RNA (VRAD_LNC006635)". Lineage: Eukaryota; Viridiplantae; Streptophyta; Magnoliopsida; Fabales; Fabaceae. The record is from RNAcentral.
AGGGAGUUAGGGUUAUAUAAUACAAUAAUACAAUAUUAAGGAUUGUUGGUGGUUGAAAAAUCAUUAAACUAUAAUUGCACUUUUUUAAAUUUUAUUAAAUGAAGAAGACUGUAAAUUGGGAGGUGUAGGAUGAAAUAAGUGAGGUAGAAUAAAAAGAUUUCAAAGAAGUUUUUACAAGAAAACAACUAAAAUAAGUUGGAAGACAAGGAGCUUGUAAAUUUUAAAGAUUAUAAACGUAUUUUAAAAGCAUAAGAUAACAUUAUGUAAUAAUCUAAAACUACAUAAAAAGAUGGUUAGAAAUAUAAAAAGUCGCUUUUAAGUACAUAUAAUGGUUAUAAUGGUUAUAAGUAUUGGGAAA